RNAcentral lists this ribosomal RNA (1256 nucleotides) under Candidatus Rosenkranzia clausaccus. RNAcentral's name for it is "bacterial SSU rRNA". It matches the Rfam family "Bacterial small subunit ribosomal RNA", at positions 86 to 1331 of the family's 1533-position model. The record is from RNAcentral. Lineage: Bacteria; Pseudomonadati; Pseudomonadota; Gammaproteobacteria; Enterobacterales; Enterobacteriaceae.
UGCUGGCGAGUGGCGGACGGGUGAGUAAUAUCUGGGGAUCUGCCUAAUGAAGGGGGAUAACUACUGGAAACGGUAGCUAAUACCGCAUAAUGUCGUAAGACCAAAGUGGGGGACUUUGUUCAUCAAAGCCUCGCAUCAUUAGAUGAACCCAGACGAGAUUAGCUUGUAGGUAAGGUAACGGCUUACCUAGGCUACGAUCUCUAGCUGGUCUGAGAGGAUGGCCAGCCACACUGGAACUGAGAUACGGUCCAGACUCCUACGGGAGGCAGCAGUGGGGAAUAUUGCACAAUGGGCGCAAGCCUGAUGCAGCUAUGCCGCGUGUAUGAAGAAGGCCUUCGGGUUGUAAAGUACUUUCAGCGAGGAAGAAACGAUCAUUCUUAAUAAGAAUGAUAAUUGACGUUACUCGCAGAAGAAGCACCGGCUAACUCCGUGCCAGCAGCCGCGGUAAUACGGAGGGUGCUAGCGUUAAUCGGAAUUACUGGGCGUAAAGCGCACGCAGGUGGUUUGCUAAGUCAGAUGUGAAAUCCCUGGGCUUAACCUAGGAACUGCAUUUGAAACUGGCAAGCUAGAGUCUCGUAGAGGAAGGUAGAAUUCCAGGUGUAGCGGUGAAAUGCGUAGAGAUCUGGAGGAAUAUCAGUGGCGAAGGCGACCUUCUGGACGAAGACUGACACUCAGGUGCGAAAGCGUGGGUAGCAAACAGGAUUAGAUACCCUGGUAGUCCAUGCCGUAAACGAUGUCGACUUGGAGGUUGUAAGCUUGACUUGUGGCUUCCGAAGCUAACGCGUUAAGUCGACCGCCUGGGGAGUACGGCCGCAAGGCUAAAACUCAAAUGAAUUGACGGGGGCCCGCACAAGCGGUGGAGCAUGUGGUUUAAUUCGAUGCAACGCGAAGAACCUUACCUGGUCUUGACAUCCAUAGAAUUUUUUUAGAGAUAAAAAAGUGCCUUCGGGAACUAUGAGACAGGUGCUGCAUGGCUGUCGUCAGCUCGUGUUGUGAAAUGUUGGGUUAAGUCCCGCAACGAGCGCAACCCUUAUCCUUUGUUGCCAACGGUUCGGCCGGGAACUCAAAGGAGACUGCCGGUGAUAAACCGGAGGAAGGUGGGGAUGACGUCAAGUCAUCAUGGCCCUUAUGACCAGGGCUACACACGUGCUACAAUGGUGUAUACAAAAAGAAGCAAUCUUGUAAAAGUUAGCAAAUCUUAUAAAAUACAUCGUAGUCCGGAUUGGAGUCUGCAACUCGACUCCAUGAAGUCGGAA